RNAcentral lists this ribosomal RNA (957 nucleotides) under Salmonella enterica subsp. enterica serovar Infantis. RNAcentral describes it as "partial 23S ribosomal RNA". It matches the Rfam family "Bacterial large subunit ribosomal RNA", at positions 711 to 1587 of the family's 2925-position model. Lineage: Bacteria; Pseudomonadati; Pseudomonadota; Gammaproteobacteria; Enterobacterales; Enterobacteriaceae. The record is from RNAcentral.
AGACCCGAAACCCGGUGAUCUAGCCAUGGGCAGGUUGAAGGUUGGGUAACACUAACUGGAGGACCGAACCGACUAAUGUUGAAAAAUUAGCGGAUGACCUGUGGCUGGGGGUGAAAGGCCAAUCAAACCGGGAGAUAGCUGGUUCUCCCCGAAAGCUAUUUAGGUAGCGCCUCGUGAAUUCAUCUCCGGGGGUAGAGCACUGUUUCGGCUAGGGGGCCAUCCCGGCUUACCAACCCGAUGCAAACUGCGAAUACCGGAGAAUGUUAUCACGGGAGACACACGGCGGGUGCUAACGUCCGUCGUGAAGAGGGAAACAACCCAGACCGCCAGCUAAGGUCCCAAAGUCAUGGUUAAGUGGGAAACGAUGUGGGAAGGCCCAGACAGCCAGGAUGUUGGCUUAGAAGCAGCCAUCAUUUAAAGAAAGCGUAAUAGCUCACUGGUCGAGUCGGCCUGCGCGGAAGAUGUAACGGGGCUAAACCAUGCACCGAAGCUGCGGCAGCGAACGUAUCACUUAAAGCGAUUCAGCGGGUUACGAUUGACGGAGCGAAGCGACGUCAAAGCGUAUACAAAGUCGAGUCGGUUUAAGGAUACGUUCGUUGGGUAGGGGAGCGUUCUGUAAGCCUGUGAAGGUGUGUCGUGAGGCAUGCUGGAGGUAUCAGAAGUGCGAAUGCUGACAUAAGUAACGAUAAAGCGGGUGAAAAGCCCGCUCGCCGGAAGACCAAGGGUUCCUGUCCAACGUUAAUCGGGGCAGGGUGAGUCGACCCCUAAGGCGAGGCCGAAAGGCGUAGUCGAUGGGAAACGGGUUAAUAUUCCCGUACUUGGUGUUACUGCGAAGGGGGGACGGAGAAGGCUAUGUUGGCCGGGCGACGGUUGUCCCGGUUUAAGCGUGUAGGCUGGUUUUCCAGGCAAAUCCGGAAAAUCAAGGCUGAGGCGUGAUGACGAGGCACUACGGUGCUG